GAUGAAGAACGUAGCGAAAUGCGAUACUUGGUGUGAAUUGCAGAAUCCCGUGAACCAUCGAGUCUUUGAACGCAAGUUGCGCCUCAAGCCAUUAGGUUGAGGGCACGUCUGCCUGGGCGUCACAUAUCGUUGCCUGAUGCCAGUUUCCUCGUGAUGGGUGACUGUGCAGGGCGAAUGAUGGCUUCCCGUGAGCAUUGUUGCCUCAUGGUUGGUUGAAAAUUGAGUCCUUGGUAGGGAGCGCCGUGAUAGAUGGUGGUUGAGUGACGAACGAGACCCAAUCAUGUGAGACCCCUACCGAAUUUGGCCUUCAUGACCCACAUGCGUCUUUGGAACGCUCAUGACGAGACCUCAGGUCAGGCGGGGCUACCCGCUGAGUUUAAGCAUAUCAAUAGCGGGGA
RNAcentral lists this unclassified non-coding RNA (398 nucleotides) under soil metagenome. RNAcentral's name for it is "partial contains 5.8S ribosomal RNA, internal transcribed spacer 2, and large subunit ribosomal RNA". The stretch from base 1 to 122 matches the Rfam family "5.8S ribosomal RNA", at positions 35 to 154 of the family's 154-position model. The record is from RNAcentral.